This 730-nucleotide long non-coding RNA is filed under the name Triticum aestivum (bread wheat). Its description in RNAcentral is "long non-coding RNA (TAES_LNC024995)". The record is from RNAcentral. Lineage: Eukaryota; Viridiplantae; Streptophyta; Magnoliopsida; Poales; Poaceae.
GUGCUUGUAGAAUUGUAGCCGUUCCUUCUUGUAGGAAUGGAGCUAAGGUACCAUCCCAGAAAUGCAAAUACUUUUUACGCUGUUUGAGCAGAACCCAUUGAAGCUGUAGCUUAAUACAGGACAUUUUUACUAUGCUCCUCUACUAUUGUACUACCAUGUAAUCACUUUGCAUUGCAUUGCUCCUUCUCCUGUUGCUAGCCGAGGUGUCUGACAGUUUUCUUGUUGCUGAAAAAUUCAGAUCAUGUGUCGUUUGUCAAGGAAAUCGCUGUGAUUGAUCCCCCGGAGCAUCUUAUCUUUUUGUUGAAUGUGCUUCAGGCAUGAGGCAUGACUUCACAUAUCUGAGUAAGAGUUUUCAUUUCCAAGGAUUCUUCAGUCGUGCCAACAGACCCUUUGUCAUGCAAGUUGAAAUAAUCUAAUAAUUAUUACAGUUUUAGAUUAGAGAAGAGAAAGAUCCAGAGAUUUUCAUACCUAGAGGAACUCGCCUUCUUGAUGCUCCUUGCUUACAUGAGGUAGUCCUUGGGAAUAUUUCCUCCAGGUCUGGCUAUUUUGAUCCUUUGCUAUAUGUGAUGGGAGAAGGGAGAGCAGGGAGGGGGGGAGGGAUAGCAGAGGAGGUUAGCAUAGGUAGACCAUGGGGAGGACAACUGGGCAUCAAAUUAUAGCUUGUUCCAGUUAUAUCAUAUAUUGCUGUAUGGAGCAGCUCUCCUUCCUUUUUCCAUCAAAAAGAUGUCAA